This 376-nucleotide ribosomal RNA is filed under the name uncultured bacterium. RNAcentral's name for it is "bacterial SSU rRNA". It matches the Rfam family "Bacterial small subunit ribosomal RNA", at positions 524 to 898 of the family's 1533-position model. The record is from RNAcentral.
UACGUAGGGAGCGAGCGUUACUCGGAAUCACUGGGCAUAAAGGGCGUGUAGGCGGGUGCGCAAGUCCGAUGUGAAAUCCACCGGCUCACCCGGUGAAGUGCAUUGGAUACUGCGUGUCUGGAGUGUGGGAGAGGAGAGUGGAACUCUUGGUGGAGCGGUGAAAUGCGUAGAUAUCAAGAGGAACGCCGGUGGCGAAAGCGGCUCUCUGGCCCAUUACUGACGCUGAGGCGCGAAAGCUAGGGGAGCAAACGGGAUUAGAUACCCCGGUAGUCCUAGCCCUAAACGAUGAGCACUAAGUAGGGGAGGUUCCGAUGCCUUCCUUGCUGUAGCCAAUGUGUUAAGUGCUCCGCCUGGGGAGUAUGGUCGCAAGGCUGAA